This 477-nucleotide ribosomal RNA is filed under the name uncultured bacterium. RNAcentral's name for it is "partial 16S ribosomal RNA". It matches the Rfam family "Bacterial small subunit ribosomal RNA", at positions 28 to 523 of the family's 1533-position model. The record is from RNAcentral.
GACGAACGCUGGCGGCGUGCUUAACACAUGCAAGUCGAACGGUAAGGCCCUUCGGGGUACACGAGUGGCGAACGGGUGAGUAACACGUGGGUGAUCUGCCCUGCACUUCGGGAUAAGCCUGGGAAACUGGGUCUAAUACCGGAUAGGACCACUGCCUGCAUGGGUGGUGGUGGAAAGCUUUUGCGGUGUGGGAUGGCCCGCGGCCUAUCAGCUUGUUGGUGGGGUGAUGGCCUACCAAGGCGACGACGGGUAGCCGGCCUGAGAGGGUAACCGGCCACACUGGGACUGAGAUACGGCCCGGACUCCUACGGGAGGCAGCAGUGGGGAAUAUUGCACAAUGGGCGCAAGCCUGAUGCAGCGACGCCGCGUGAGGGAUGACGGCCUUCGGGUUGUAAACCUCUUUCAGCACCGACGAAGCGCAAGUGACGGUAGGUGCAGAAGAAGGACCGGCCAACUACGUGCCAGCAGCCGCCGUAA